Molecule: ribosomal RNA, 433 nt
Filed under: uncultured bacterium
Lineage: Bacteria
Description: partial 16S ribosomal RNA
Rfam family: Bacterial small subunit ribosomal RNA
Source: RNAcentral
AACGAACGCUGGCGGCAUGCCUAACACAUGCAAGUCGAACGAGACCUUCGGGUCUAGUGGCGCACGGGUGCGUAACGCGUGGGAACCUGCCCUUAGGUUCGGAAUAACUCCCCGAAAGGGGUGCUAAUACCGGAUAAUGUCUUCGGACCAAAGAUUUAUCGCCUUUGGAUGGGCCCGCGUUGGAUUAGCUAGUUGUUAGGGUAAAAGCCUACCAAGGCGACGAUCCAUAGCUGGUCUGAGAGGAUGAUUAGCCACACUGGGACUGAGACACGGCCCAGACUCCUACGGGAGGCAGCAGUGGGGAAUAUUGGACAAUGGGCGAAAGCCUGAUCCAGCAAUGCCGCGUGAGUGAUGAAGGCCUUAGGGUUGUAAAGCUCUUUUAACCGGGAUGAUAAUGACAGUACCGGGAGAAUAAGCUCCGGCUAACUCCGUG